CUGCACACUCACUCAACAAAGUUUCAUACACAUAUGCCAUCACAGUAGAGUAUAAGACCUCAAUCUGAAUAGACUGUGAUUUUAACCUAGAACUAACAGAGCAUCCUAGAAUGAGGAUGGGUGAAGCUACUAAUAAUAACACACAGAGCAUCGCCGACUAUUUGGCGCAGCUUCUAAAGGACAAAAAGCAGCUUGCAGCUUUCCCGAAUGUAUUUGUGCACAUGGAACGUUUGCUAGAUGACGAAAUUGGUAAAGUGCGGAGUAACUUGUUCCAAAUAAAUGGUUACGUGAAGGAGCCUCUAAUAUUACCAGAUGGAAAUGGUCCUCCAGUAAUUCACACAGAAAAGGUUUAUGUUCCGGUCAAAGAUCAUCCAGAGUUUAACUUUGUUGGUCGUAUUCUGGGCCCUAGGGGGCUCACCGCCAAGCAGUUGGAACAGGAGACUGGAUGUAAAGUAAUGGUGCGAGGGAAGGGCAGCAUGAGAGACAAGAAAAAGGAGGAACAGAACCGUGGUAAACCAAACUGGGAGCACUUGAACGAUGAGCUCCAUGUUCUAAUUACAGUUGAAGAUUGUGAAAACCGAGCAACACUCAAGCUAGAGCGCGCAGUCGAAGAAGUUAAGAAACUCCUCACCGUGAGCGAGGGUGAAGAUGAAUUAAAGAAGAGACAGUUGAUGGAGUUGGCCAUUAUCAACGGAACAUACAGAGAUUCAACAAGCAACAUGUCAUCUCCUGGACUUGAGACUCAACCCAGACUUGCUCUCACCCACAGCCAGCAUACUCAGCUCCAGAACGCGCUCGCAAACCAGGCGGCCGCGCUCAGGCAGAGCGGUCAACUGGGCGGCGCGCCUUUAAUUCUCUCCCCUCGUCUUCAGGGACUUCAGGUCCCAACCACCUUGGCCAAUGGACUGCUAAGCAACGGUGGUCCACCUCCACUCAUCAAUCCUAACGAUACGCAACAGCUGUUGUACGCACAAUACGGGAUUGCGGAUUACAGCAGCUACGCAGGGCUUACGUCACCAUUGAUUGACUACACACAGGAUACUUCAGGACUUGGUAAGGACAGGAAAUUUGUUGCUGGGCUUAGACAGCAUCCCUAUACCAGGCCCUAGUCUGAAGUGAGAGUUAGAGACACCUGUUGUUGAACUAGAGAACUACGAAUUAGAGAUAUUUAUCCCAGAGUAGAGAUAACUCGUGUCAAAAUAUGAAAAUAUAAUGUCCGGCCAGACCGGACAUUGGAGAUCUGCAACAUCUAAGAAUCUCUUUGUACAUAAAAAAUACUGUUGCAGUGCACACAACUGAACAUAAUUAUGACUGUCAAUGUUUAAAUUUACAAUUAGUCGACAUUUUUUGAUUCUCCAUGUACAGUCAUUGGUACACGGAUAUAUUAUAUGUGUUCAAUGUGUUGUACAGUACCUACAUGUACAGGAUGUAUGCACAACAAUGUUAUAGCUGUACUCUGUACAGUGUGCAUAUGUAUUAAUAAUUAGCGCAUUUUUGCUAAUUUAAUUCACUGGUGCCAAAUAUAAAACAGGGUUUUGUUUUAUUUUUAUUACUGUACACUUGAACACAUUAUCAUGUUUAAAAGGGCACACCGUAAUGCCUCGAAUUUCGAUUGUUUAUGUAUAUUUAUGAAAAAUAUUUUUAAUUACGUAUUACUUAAUCAAUUAUUCAUAAUACUGAUAUAACUACUUAUAUUUAAUUGAACAUAAAAGUAGUUUUAUUUUCUCCAUAUUGAAUGAAUCGAAUUGACUAGAAUUUAUUUUAUGUCAAAAUAUUGUAAGUGUACUGCAGGAGAUCUGUGCAAACAAACAAUAACAAUAUGAUAUUGUUUAUCCCAUAAAUCUGACUGCAACGAAUUUUUACAAUGAUAUUCUCCAAGAUGCAAAGUUUUACAAAUUCCUUUAUUGCAUUCAUAAAUAUGGGAUACCUGGUAUACCAGGGUUAAACAUCGUUAUCCCCCCUCAGAAAAUAUUUAUUUUCCAAGAAGAUAUUUAUGCUUCAAGCAAUCCCUCCAACAUGGUAUUGUAGACGAGGAAAAUCUCCGAAAGAGGAAAAUAAAAUCCGCAAAUCAGUUGUCAUGUUUACUUUGUUUACGUCAGUUCUCCUGAAUACAAAACUUGUGCCAUCUUUACUUAAUGUGCCUUCACCACGUGCCUUAGAUGUAGACACAGAUUACACAGAUCGGACGUUAAGAGCGAGCCUUGGGUUUCUAAGACGACCUUCGUUGUCCUAUCUGUCACAUCUGUGAAUGUAGAUAAAAUUGUGUCAUAGUAUAUAUAUAACAAUAAUCCCAUCCGUCCAAGAUAAAUUUUUAAAAAUUUGUAUUUGCAGAUCGUAGUCAUUUAGCCCCACUUCUUAUCCUACUUAAUUGUAUAGUCGUACACCUAGUGUUAAAAAUAAAUAUGUUUUUAAAAUUCA
RNA transcript from Eurytemora carolleeae, 2418 nucleotides. It is a transcript of the gene named protein held out wings, with no coding region annotated. The transcript has 9 exons. Lineage: Eukaryota; Metazoa; Arthropoda; Copepoda; Calanoida; Temoridae. The record is from RefSeq and is a predicted model, not a curated record.